RNAcentral lists this ribosomal RNA (444 nucleotides) under uncultured bacterium. RNAcentral's name for it is "bacterial SSU rRNA". It matches the Rfam family "Bacterial small subunit ribosomal RNA", at positions 958 to 1398 of the family's 1533-position model. The record is from RNAcentral.
AACGCGAAGAACCUUACCUGGGCUUGAACUACUGGUAGUAAGUCCUUGGAAACAGGGGCUGAUCCGCAAGGAAGCCAGCAGAGGUGCUGCAUGGUUGUCGUCAGCUCGUGUCGUGAGAUGUUGGGUUAAGUCCCGCAACGAGCGCAACCCCUAUCCAAUGUUGCUACUCCCGCAAGGGAGGCACUCUUUGGAAACUGCCUUCGAUAAGAAGGAGGAAGGUGGGGACGACGUCAAAUCCUCAUGGCCCUUAUGUCCAGGGCCACACACGUGUUACAAUGGCCGGUACAAUGGGAAGCAAUACCGCAAGGUGGAGCCAAACCCCAAAGCCGGCCCCAGUUCAGAUUGUGGGCUGCAACUCGCCCACAUGAAGGCGGAAUCGCUAGUAAUCGCUGAUCAGCAGGCAGCGGUGAAUACGUUCCCGGGCCUUGUACACACCGAGACGUA